CCCUCUCUGUGAUCUCCCUGGUCCUUUCCUGAUCGCUGGGCUCCCUUUUUCGGGCCUCUGGCCAAAAACUUGGUGUUGUAGUUACCCUGCUCUGCCGUGCACUUCCUACAACUGCACCCACAGUCGCGGCCAAGCAGCGAAGAUUUAAGAAACAGGAAAAGAAGUUCUCUUAUACAAUUAAGGGGGCGUUGAAUGUGCCAGGAUGUAAAUCAGCAUCUUGCGAAGUUUUGUUUGCAACAUGUAUAAUGAAAACUGGAGACUAAGAACAGUAGGUGAUGACCACAUUUGCUAGAGAUUUACAUGUGAUGUCCAGAGGUGCUGGGAAGCUAUGACAUACAAGA
RNAcentral lists this long non-coding RNA (341 nucleotides) under Homo sapiens (human). RNAcentral's name for it is "non-protein coding LRRC2-AS1:4". Lineage: Eukaryota; Metazoa; Chordata; Mammalia; Primates; Hominidae. The record is from RNAcentral.